RNAcentral lists this ribosomal RNA (244 nucleotides) under uncultured Actinomycetales bacterium. RNAcentral describes it as "partial 16S ribosomal RNA". It matches the Rfam family "Bacterial small subunit ribosomal RNA", at positions 89 to 334 of the family's 1533-position model. The record is from RNAcentral. Lineage: Bacteria; Bacillati; Actinomycetota; Actinomycetes; Actinomycetales.
GCUCGAGUGGCGAACGGGUGAGUAACACGUGAGUAACCUGCCCUUGACUUUGGGAUAACUUCAGGAAACUGGGGCUAAUACCGGAUAGGAGCUCCUGCUGCAUGGUGGGGGUUGGAAAGUUUCGGCGGUUGGGGAUGGACUCGCGGCUUAUCAGCUUGUUGGUGGGGUAGUGGCUUACCAAGGCUUUGACGGGUAGCCGGCCUGAGAGGGUGACCGGCCACAUUGGGACUGAGAUCCGGCCCAG